RNAcentral lists this unclassified non-coding RNA (152 nucleotides) under uncultured fungus. RNAcentral describes it as "sequence contains ITS2". The record is from RNAcentral. Lineage: Eukaryota; Fungi.
UACCCCCUCAAGCCCCGCUUGGUGUUGGACCCCGCCCGGGCCGCGUGCCCGGGCGCCGUCCGAAAGUCAUUGGCGCCGCGUCGCCGGCCCCAGCGUUGUGCAACCAUCCGCUGGGUCCGGUCGGCGGGGCUCGCCUCGUCCCCCACAGUAAC